CUACGGGAGGCAGCAGUGGGGAAUAUUGGACAAUGGGCGAAAGCCUGAUCCAGCCAUGCCGCGUGUGUGAAGAAGGUCUUCGGAUUGUAAAGCACUUUAAGUUGGGAGGAAGGGCAGUAAGCUAAUACCUUGCUGUUUUGACGUUACCGACAGAAUAAGCACCGGCUAACUCUGUGCCAGCAGCCGCGGUAAUACAGAGGUGCAAGCGUUAAUCGGAAUUACUGGGCGUAAAGCGCGCGUAGGUGGUUCGUUAAGUUGGAUGUGAAAGCCCCGGGCUCAACCUGGGAACUGCAUCCAAAACUGGCGAGCUAGAGUACGGUAGAGGGUGGUGGAAUUUCCUGUGUAGCGGUGAAAUGCGUAGAUAUAGGAAGGAACACCAGUGGCGAAGGCGACCACCUGGACUGAUACUGACACUGAGGUGCGAAAGCGUGGGGAGCAAACAGGAUUAGAUACCCGGGUAGUC
This 463-nucleotide ribosomal RNA is filed under the name uncultured bacterium. Its description in RNAcentral is "partial 16S ribosomal RNA". It matches the Rfam family "Bacterial small subunit ribosomal RNA", at positions 339 to 795 of the family's 1533-position model. The record is from RNAcentral.